CCACCUUGAAGCUGUAAGCACCCUGGACACCCAUUCCAGAAGGAUGUUUUUGUCAGAUGAAGAUUCCAAUUUAGGAAAAUAUUAGAACAGAGAUUUCAAAGGGACUUCAGAAAAUGUUUAAAGGCUGUAGACCAAAUGCUGUUUUGCUGUCUGAAGAGAUCUCAGUAAAGGGACAGUAGUUAAAGAGGAACGAUUACAUUGUAAAAAGUCAUAAAACCUUCCAGUAUUCAGUCUCAGGAGGUAAGUUUAUCAAUUUAAUUGAAUUAAAAUAUU
RNAcentral lists this long non-coding RNA (273 nucleotides) under Chrysolophus pictus (golden pheasant). RNAcentral's name for it is "lncRNA (ENSCPIG00010005278.1)". The record is from RNAcentral. Lineage: Eukaryota; Metazoa; Chordata; Aves; Galliformes; Phasianidae.